AUCCCAUGAUGAGGACAGGCGGCGACGUAUUGCUGAAGUCGUUCCCAUGCUUCCGGGACCAUCGCAUCUUUUGUCUGCUGGAAGCUAGAUAUUCUUCCACGAAGGGC
Non-coding RNA from Oryza punctata, 107 nucleotides. The record is from Rfam. Lineage: Eukaryota; Viridiplantae; Streptophyta; Magnoliopsida; Poales; Poaceae.